AUUGAACGCUGGCGGCAGGCUUAACACAUGCAAGUCGAGCGGGGUGAUGGUGCUUGCACUAUCACUUAGCGGCGGACGGGUGAGUAAUGCUUAGGAAUCUGCCUAUUAGUGGGGGACAACAUCUCGAAAGGGAUGCUAAUACCGCAUACGUCCUACGGGAGAAAGCAGGGGAUCACUUGUGACCUUGCGCUAAUAGAUGAGCCUAAGUCGGAUUAGCUAGUUGGUGGGGUAAAGGCCUACCAAGGCGACGAUCUGUAGCGGGUCUGGGAGGAUGAUCCGCCACACUGGGACUGAGACACGGCCCAGACGCCUACGGGGGGCAGCAGUGGGGAAUAUUGGACAAUGGGGGGAACCCUGAUCCAGCCAUGCCGCGUGUGUGAAGAAGGCCUUAUGGUUGUAAAGCACUUUAAGCGAGGAGGGGGCUCUUUUGGUUAAUACCCAAGAUGAGUGGACGUUACUCGCGGAAUAAGCACCGGCUAACUCUGUGCCAGCCGCCGCCGUAA
Molecule: ribosomal RNA, 503 nt
Filed under: uncultured bacterium
Lineage: Bacteria
Description: partial 16S ribosomal RNA
Rfam family: Bacterial small subunit ribosomal RNA
Source: RNAcentral